Molecule: ribosomal RNA, 464 nt
Filed under: uncultured bacterium
Lineage: Bacteria
Description: partial 16S ribosomal RNA
Rfam family: Bacterial small subunit ribosomal RNA
Source: RNAcentral
CUACGGGUUGCUGCAGUCGGGAAUAUUGGACAAUGGGGGAAACCCUGAUCCAGCCAUGCCGCGUGUGUGAAGAAGGCCCUAGGGUUGUAAAGCACUUUUAGUAGUGAGGAAGGCUCAGUAGCUAAUACCUACUGGGAUUGACGUUAGCUACAGAAAAAGCACCGGCUAAUUUCGUGCCAGCAGCCGCGGUAAUACGAAAGGUGCAAGCGUUAAUCGGAAUUACUGGGCGUAAAGCGCGCGUAGGCGGCUUGGUAAGUUGGAUGUGAAAGCCCCGGGCUCAACCUGGGAACUGCAUCCAAAACUGCCUAGCUAGAGUAUGGUAGAGGAUGGCGGAAUUUCCUGUGUAGCGGUGAAAUGCGUAGAUAUAGGAAGGAACAUCAGUGGCGAAGGCGGCCAUCUGGACCAAUACUGACGCUGAGGUGCGAAAGCGUGGGGAGCAAACAGGAUUAGAUACCCUCGUAGUC